Molecule: unclassified non-coding RNA, 331 nt
Filed under: plant metagenome
Description: partial contains 5.8S ribosomal RNA, internal transcribed spacer 2, and large subunit ribosomal RNA
Source: RNAcentral
GAACGGGUACCACUCGGAGUGAACGGGGCUGCGAUUGGGUUCGACCUGUAGGGGAUCACGAACUGUGAGCGGUUCUGAUCACCAAUCUUGAGCAGGCCCGAGGGCGGGGCUACGCGAGUGUAGCAGCCCCUCCCUUCGGGGCAGCGUCCUGGUAGGCGCGCAUGCGGUAGCUCCUGCCACGGAUGUUCAGGACGGCGGCGUUGCCGAGGAGCCGGUCGACGAUGGCGGCCGCGACGACCGGGUCGGCGAAGACCUGGCCCCAGUCGCCGAAGCCGCGAUUCGAGGUCAGGAUGAUGGAGCCCUUGUCGGCGCGGCGGCUGACGACCUGGAA